AUUGAACGCUGGCGGCAGGCCUAGCACAUGCAAGUCGAGCGGAUGAAGGGAACUUGCUCCUGGAUUCAGCGGCGGACGGGUGAGUAAUGCCUAGGAAUCUGCCUGGUAGUGGGGGAUAACGUCCGGAAACGGGCGCUAAUACCGCAUACGUCCUGAGGGAGAAAGUGGGGGAUCUUCGGACCUCACGCUAUCAGAUGAGCCUAGGUCGGAUUAGCUAGUUGGUGGGGUAAAGGCCUACCAAGGCGACGAUCCGUAACUGGUCUGAGAGGAUGAUCAGUCACACUGGAACUGAGACACGGUCCAGACUCCUACGGGAGGCAGCAGUGGGGAAUAUUGGACAAUGGGCGAAAGCCUGAUCCAGCCAUGCCGCGUGUGUGAAGAAGGUCUUCGGAUUGUAAAGCACUUUAAGUUGGGAGGAAGGGCAGUAAGUUAAUACCUUGCUGUUUUGACGUUACCAACAGAAUAAGCACCGGCUAACUUCGUG
RNAcentral lists this ribosomal RNA (484 nucleotides) under uncultured bacterium. RNAcentral describes it as "partial 16S ribosomal RNA". It matches the Rfam family "Bacterial small subunit ribosomal RNA", at positions 30 to 507 of the family's 1533-position model. The record is from RNAcentral.